Molecule: transfer RNA, 73 nt
Filed under: Candidatus Moraniibacteriota bacterium
Lineage: Bacteria; Candidatus Moraniibacteriota
Description: tRNA-Ala
Rfam family: tRNA
About the family: Transfer RNA (tRNA) molecules are approximately 80 nucleotides in length. Their secondary structure includes four short double-helical elements and three loops (D, anti-codon, and T loops). Further hydrogen bonds mediate the characteristic L-shaped molecular structure. tRNAs have two regions of fundamental functional importance: the anti-codon, which is responsible for specific mRNA codon recognition, and the 3' end, to which the tRNAs corresponding amino acid is attached (by aminoacyl-tRNA synthetases). tRNAs cope with the degeneracy of the genetic code in two manners: having more than one tRNA (with a specific anti-codon) for a particular amino acid; and 'wobble' base-pairing, i.e. permitting non-standard base-pairing at the 3rd anti-codon position.
Source: RNAcentral
GGGCCGUUAGCUCAUUUGGUAGAGCGCUUCCAUGGCAUGGAAGAGGUAAGGAGUUCGAUUCUCCUACGGUCCA